Molecule: ribosomal RNA, 388 nt
Filed under: Prasinoderma sp.
Lineage: Eukaryota; Viridiplantae; Prasinodermophyta; Prasinodermophyceae; Prasinodermales; Prasinodermaceae
Description: partial small subunit ribosomal RNA
Rfam family: Eukaryotic small subunit ribosomal RNA
Source: RNAcentral
AUUCCAGCUCCAAUAGCGUAUAUUAAAGUUGUUGCAGUUAAAACGCUCGUAGUCGGAUUUCGGGGCGGGGGCACCGGUCCGCCGUUCCGGUGUGCACUGGUGGCCCCUUCCUUUCUGCCGGGGACGUGCGUCGCACUUAAUUGGGGGGCGUUCGGAGUCGGCGUUGUUACUUUGAAAAAAUUAGAGUGUUCAAAGCAAGCCAUCGCUCUGAAUACAUUAGCAUGGAAUAACAUGAUAGGACUCCGGUCUUAUUUUGUUGGUUUCCGAGACUGGAGUAAUGAUUAAGAGGGACAGUCGGGGGUAUCCGUAUUCCAUUGUCAGAGGUGAAAUUCUUGGAUUUAUGAAAGACGAACUUCUGCGAAAGCAUUUGCCAAGGAUGUUUUCAUUA